RNAcentral lists this non-coding RNA (207 nucleotides) under Candidatus Jettenia. The record is from RNAcentral. Lineage: Bacteria; Pseudomonadati; Planctomycetota; Candidatus Brocadiia; Candidatus Brocadiales; Candidatus Brocadiaceae.
UAGUAGUUAAGCUUAUUUAAUAACAGUUCGGAUACAAGGGAAUCCCAUAAAAAGGAGCUGCCCCGCAACUGUAACCGGCGACGAAAUCUGCAAUAAGCCACUGGAAAGCCGUUUAAACGGUUUAAACUGAUUAAACAGCUUUCUGGGAAGGUGCAGAAAGUAGGUAGACCCGGAAGCCAGGAGACCUAUUCGAAUAAUCUAAGGUUA